UAAGGUGGGACAGUUUGAUACUAAAGU
RNAcentral lists this non-coding RNA (27 nucleotides) under Rattus norvegicus (Norway rat). The record is from RNAcentral. Lineage: Eukaryota; Metazoa; Chordata; Mammalia; Rodentia; Muridae.